UCACGGGGCAGGAGGACCGGGCAGGCCCUGCAGACCAGGGACAAGGGCUUGCCACAGCGCCUGAGCCAGUCAGACGUCUGUCAGCAAACGCCGGGGCCACAGCCCCAAGACAGGACUGCAGAAGGGAGAAACUCACUUUGCUGAUUCCAGAAGCAGGCGACAGAGACCCUGCUCCCAUAGUAACUGGACUGGGAGAGACAGCAAAGUGGACCAGCGACCCCACGGCGUGAGCUCUAACAAGCCCCGGCCGGCGCACCCCACAGAACAAGGGAAGUGGACUUUCCUGGGGGCAGCUGCAGACCUCAGGGCACCUCCCAGACCCAUAAACACAGAGCAGCUGUGGGUGAGACUCGGGCAGGCGGCUGGGGAGCAAGACCACCUGGCCGCAGGCCUGUGGGGCAGGCACCUCAUGCUGCUGGCUCUCACCUCCACCAGGGGCCUGCAGUGCCCCCCACGUCCGCCUGCGCGAGCCACAGUGUGCACCCCGACAGCUUCCCAGAAGAGGAUAGCAGAGGACAUGGUCUCUGAUGGCCAAGGAAGAGUGAAAAGUCAGCCACGGAAGGACAGCAGAAAACCCCUCAGACCUUGGAAAUUAAGCAGGAUGUGCCAAGGACUGAAUGUGCUAAAGUGUCCAGACUGAAAUCCGACACUGCCUCGAGCUAAGUUAGAGUGAAGUUACCAUUCAAACUGUGCUUCGGGGAACUGCAUCCCCAUAGAUGCUGCAAAAACUAGAAGACAGCACAGUGGGCUAAACUGUGCCCCCAGCGCCUGGGCCGGAUCUAGCAUGGAGACAGGUCUUUGUAAGUGUGCUGGGCCUAAUCUGGGUCUGGAGGCGAACACACAAAGGAAGAGGCUGGCAGAGACAGACUGAGACCAGAGCAGGGUGGCCACAGCCGGGGCCUGAGCCCCGCCCAGUGGAGGAGGAGGGUGGGACAGGGGCACAGCCACACCUCUGCCAGAGGGCAGGCUCCGGGCUGCCGGACAAUACAUUUCCCCACUUUGGUUAGUGGAAGUUUAUUAGAGCAGUCCUAGGAAAUCCACACAGAGAGUGAGAGCUGUUAUAAAUAUCUGCAGUGGUAAUUUUUUAUUCAUAGAUAAGAUAGACAAAUUCUUUGAGAAACAACCUCCCAAAAUCUCAGAAGAGACAGAAGCUGAGCCACAUGAAGAGUGUGCAGGCCUGGGGGAUCCCAAGAAGAUCCUGCAGGCACCAAGGCAACCCCGCCGAGGAUGCUGGCCUGGUCACAGCCAGGAUGGCAGUGCUUGAGUGUCCGCCACCCUCUCAGAUUUGCUCUGCUUCGCAAACUGCCCUUGGAGUUAUUUUCUGUUUUUCCCCUUUGCCCUGAGGUGCUGACUGCUGCAGUUGCCCACGGCAUGGGAAGGAGAACCGCAAGCUUGGUACACAUGGUAUUGCUGCCCCACCAGCAUGGCUCCAGCUUCUCCUAGAAGAGGGUAGCUGCACACACAUGCGCGCACACACACACGAAGCCACCUGCCCCACAGGUGAGUCCAGCCCCCCGCCAUGUCCACAGGGGAAGCCAUCACCCUGGGCCUCCAGGAGCCGGGCCCACUCUGCAGCCCCGACACUACUGCCAGGACCCUAUAUCCGGAUGUGGCUCAGCGAUGACCCGGGAACCACCCAAGGCAGCACUCCCUGGAGGGGAAUCAUCUGUGGUGGCCCCGUCAGGUGGUCAGGUGGCAGCCCCAGGGUCCCCUGCAUCUUCAGGAGCCAUGCAUCCGCCGCUGUCUGUGGCCCGCGGGACCCACCCGGGGCUGGCUAGGACAGAGCUGCUGUGGCCUCUGCACAUCCAUGCAGCAGCGUGGGAGAGAGGCUGAGGGUGCUGCAGCCCCUCUCCUCCUCAGUCAGGGCUUCCUGCUCUAGAGGGUACCGUCCGGAUGCCCUUGUGUCUCCAGACACCUGGGCAGGAGGCCCGGAACCUCGGAGAUGGGGACCCAGAGCCGAGCCCCCGUGGACCUGUGCAGCGGCCCAUCUCAUUUGUGGGCUGAGGGGAAGAGGAACCAUGAAUGCACAGAAGGUUCUGGAAGCUGCCAGGCCUGCUCUGGCCAUGACCUGGCUAAUAAAUAUGCUGUUUAUCUCUAAGUUACACUUUUAGCAGAUUCAAAAAGUGCAGCCCUGGCAGACGCGCCCCUCCUUAGGUGGCUGAGACCAGGUGUACGUCCUGCGUCCUGCCUCCUGCCGUCUCCACCUAGAUACAGGCUGCGCCAUGUCCUUGCACACAGAAUGCAGAGCAGAUGUUACAGAAAGGAGAAAAGACCACAAAGCACAGCACAGUGUCUUCCCGGUGCCAAGUCGCCCGACAGCACCCACACAUCUGCCCUGACCGCUGCGUGGACCCCGGCCACGAAUAUUGCUCCAACCCUCCGGCUCGGGGAUCUCAUUCCUCCGCCGUUUGUCCCAGAAACACGUUCGAAGCCGUCCACACCAGCGGCCACCACAGGCCUGAGGAUGCCACAGAAGCCCCUCCACCAUACUGGCAUUGUCGUUCUUGCCACAAGCAGAGCUGGCCCCAGGUACCUCCAGGUGGGUGGUGGCUGGGCUGAGUCCCCAGCUGCACUGGUCUGGUGGCCCAGGGCCCAGGGCAGCUGCCCCUCGCCCUCGCUCAGGAAGCCCAAGCCUGGGCUGGGGCCUCUAACUAAACCCAGGCCGUGUGGCCCCUUCCUGACGGGGGCCUGCUCACCAUGGACCCAGG
This is a non-coding RNA of Heterocephalus glaber (naked mole-rat), 2708 nucleotides long. NCBI's taxonomy places the organism in Eukaryota, Metazoa, Chordata, Mammalia, Rodentia, Bathyergidae. The record is from RefSeq and is a predicted model, not a curated record.